GACGAACGCUGGCGGCGUGCUUAACACAUGCAAGUCGAACGGAAAGGCCCUGCUUUUGUGGGGUGCUCGAGUGGCGAACGGGUGAGUAGCACGUGAGUAACCUGCCCUUGACUUUGUGAUAACUUCACGAAACUGGGGCUAAUACCGGAUAGGAUCUCCUGCUGCAUGGGGGGGGUUGGAAAGUGUCGGCGGUUGGGGAUGGUCUCGCGGGUUAUGAGCCUGUUGGUGGGGUAGUGGCUGACCAAGGCUUUGACGGGUAGCCGGCCUUAGAGGGUGACCGGCCACAUUGGGACUGAGAUACGGCCCAGAAUCCUACGGGACGCAGCAGUGGGGAAUAUUGCACAAUGGGCGGAAGCCUGAUGCAGCAACGCCGCGUGCGGGAUGACGGCCUUCGGGUUAUAAACCGCUUUCGCCUGUGACGAAGCGUGAGUGACGGUAAUGGGUAAAGAAGCACCGGCUAACUACGUG
Molecule: ribosomal RNA, 468 nt
Filed under: uncultured bacterium
Lineage: Bacteria
Description: partial 16S ribosomal RNA
Rfam family: Bacterial small subunit ribosomal RNA
Source: RNAcentral